GACGAACGCUGGCGGCGUGCUUAACACAUGCAAGUCGAACGGAAAGGCCCUGCUUUUGUGGGGUGCUCGAGUGGCGAACGGGUGAGUAACACGUGAGUAACCUGCCCUUGACUUUGGGAUAACUUCAGGAAACUGGGGCUAAUACCGGAUAGGAGCUCCUGCUGCAUGGUGGGGGUUGGAAAGUUUCGGCGGUUGGGGAUGGACUCGCGGCUUAUCAGCUUGUUGGUGGGGUAGUGGCUUACCAAGGCUUUGACGGGUAGCCGGCCUGAGAGGGUGACCGGCCACAUUGGGACUGAGAUACGGCCCAGACUCCUACGGGAGGCAGCAGUGGGGAAUAUAGCACAAUGGGCGGAAGCCUGAUGCAGCAACGCCGCGUGCGGGAUGACGGCCUUCGGGUUGUAAACCGCUUUCGCCUGUGACGAAGCGUGAGUGACGGUAAUGGGUAAAGAAGCACCGGCUAACUACGUGCCAGCAGCCGCGGUGAUACGUAGGGUGCGAGCGUUGUCCGGAUUUAUUGGGCGUAAAGGGCUCGUAGGUGGUUGAUCGCGUCGGAAGUGUAAUCUUGGGGCUUAACCCUGAGCGUGCUUUCGAUACGGGUUGACUUGAGGAAGGUAGGGGAGAAUGGAAUUCCUGGUGGAGCGGUGGAAUGCGCAGAUAUCAGGAGGAACACCAGUGGCGAAGGCGGUUCUCUGGGCCUUUCCUGACGCUGAGGAGCGAAAGCGUGGGGAGCGAACAGGCUUAGGUACCCUGGUAGUCCACGCUGUAAACGGUGGGUACUAGGUGUGGGGUCCAUUCCACGGGUUCCGUGCCGUAGCUAACGCUUUAAGUACCCCGCCUGGGGAGUACGGCCGCAAGGCUAAAACUCAAAGGAAUUGACGGGGCCCCGCACAAGCGGCGGAGCAUGCGGAUUAAUUCGAUGCAACGCGUAGAACCUUACCUGGGUUUGACAUGGAUCGGGAGUGCUCAGAGAUGGGUGUGCCUCUUUUGGGGUCGGUUCACAGGUGGUGCAUGCCUGUCGUCAGCUCGUGUCGUGAGAUGUUGGGUUAAGUCCCGCAACGAGCGCAACCCUUGUUCACUGUUGCCAGCACGUUAUGGUGGGGACUCAGUGGAGACCGCCGGGGUCAACUCGGAGGAAGGUGGGGAUGACGUCAAGUCAUCAUGCCCCUUAUGUCCAGGGCUUCACGCAUGCUACAAUGGCUGGUACAGAGAGUGGCGAGCCUGUGAGGGUGAGCGAAUCUCGGAAAGCCGGUCUCAGUUCGGAUUGGGGUCUGCAACUCGACCUCAUGAAGUCGGAGUCGCUAGUAAUCGCAGAUCAGCAACGCUGCGGUGAAUACGUUCCCGGG
This 1343-nucleotide ribosomal RNA is filed under the name uncultured bacterium. RNAcentral describes it as "16S ribosomal RNA". It matches the Rfam family "Bacterial small subunit ribosomal RNA", at positions 28 to 1378 of the family's 1533-position model. The record is from RNAcentral.